RNAcentral lists this transfer RNA (76 nucleotides) under Escherichia coli. Its description in RNAcentral is "tRNA-Gln(ttg)". It matches the Rfam family "tRNA". From Rfam's summary of the family: Transfer RNA (tRNA) molecules are approximately 80 nucleotides in length. RNAcentral also lists the same sequence under 2 other names. The record is from RNAcentral. Lineage: Bacteria; Pseudomonadati; Pseudomonadota; Gammaproteobacteria; Enterobacterales; Enterobacteriaceae.
UGGGGUAUCGCCAAGCGGUAAGGCACCGGUUUUUGAUACCGGCAUUCCCUGGUUCGAAUCCCAGGUACCCCAGCCA